RNAcentral lists this transfer-messenger RNA (374 nucleotides) under Chitinophagaceae. Its description in RNAcentral is "Agriterribacter sp003075435 Standard tmRNA". It matches the Rfam family "transfer-messenger RNA". Rfam says of the family: Bacterial tmRNA, also known as 10Sa RNA or SsrA, is named for its dual tRNA and mRNA-like properties. Its role is to liberate the mRNA from a stalled ribosome. The record is from RNAcentral. RNAcentral also lists the same sequence under 2 other names. Lineage: Bacteria; Pseudomonadati; Bacteroidota; Chitinophagia; Chitinophagales.
GGGGCUGACCGGUUUUGACAGCAAAGUUCUUUGUACGAGUAAGCAUGCGGUGCGUUGGAUAAUUAGCACCUUAAUCUGAAUAUUCAACAAUUUAAAUGGCAAUACACAGUAUGCCAUGGCUGCCUAAUCAGUGAUUAGUUAGUCAUUUGGGCCGCCGUCCGGGUCUGUCUGUUACCGAGGGCCGCCGCCGACUUAAAAAGAAAACGGAAUGCUGUUAUGCAAGGCUGUGCGCAUAACAUAAGACCUAUACAGCUAAGGAAUACAUUGGUAUGUUGAUGUCCGGUUUGUUCCCGACAAUUAAUCAUCAAAUAAGCAUGUAGAAGGCGUAUGGCGGAUUUGUUUGGACCAGGGUUCGACUCCCUGCAGCUCCACAA